UGGCUGUGAUGAAACAAACUUCGUUUCUCGAUGCUGAGACUUGAUUUGUUCAAGGACCAAAAUCAUGCUGACCGUUGUGCGUGUCUGAGCCAC
Molecule: small nucleolar RNA, 93 nt
Filed under: Leersia perrieri
Lineage: Eukaryota; Viridiplantae; Streptophyta; Magnoliopsida; Poales; Poaceae
Description: snoRNA snoR126
Rfam family: small nucleolar RNA snoR126
Source: Rfam by way of RNAcentral